Astyanax mexicanus (Mexican tetra) is the source of this 893-nucleotide long non-coding RNA. RefSeq lists it as uncharacterized. NCBI's taxonomy places the organism in Eukaryota, Metazoa, Chordata, Actinopteri, Characiformes, Acestrorhamphidae. The record is from RefSeq and is a predicted model, not a curated record. The transcript is spliced from 5 exons.
GCUCCCUGAUAGCAGACUACUCCGAUCCGGAUCCGUUUUACCUCCGGCAGAUCCGCGCUACAGUCAGGUCUGUUUAGUGGAUCUGGUACGGCUUCACUCCGGGUUCGGGUUAUGAUUGUGACUCACGUUCAGAUCCGUUUUACUGACGGUAAAUCCGCAUAACAGUCCGUCUCAUUUCACGCCUUCCAUAUGACUUCGGCACGGAGUCAGAUACCAGAUGUGAGUUCAGUGUCAGUUCAGUGUCGUUUUGCGGAUCCGGGCCGCAUCGGCGGAGCGGCACAGGAGCGGGAGAAAUUCAAACUCAGCGCGAGGACCAACUGACAUCUGCUGAAUCUGCGCUUCAGGGCUGCUGAGGGCUGGGGACCUGAGAUAAGGUGUAAUCAUUUACCCAUCAAAUCACCUAACAAGCAGGAUUUGGUAUCCGCAAAAUGGUUCGAGGUCCUCAGCCCUCGCCUCCCCCAGCACAGAGGAAAACUACCAAGGGCAGUACUCUCAUUAUAGGAGAUUCAAUUGUUAGACAUUUAAAAGUAUCUAAGAGUAAUGGCACAAUUUCAUGUCUUCCAGAUGCUUGCAUGCUGGUAGUCGGCAAGCGGCUCCCUGGGGCGCAUUGCCAAAGCAGGAACCCCGGCACCAUCGCCCUCCAUGUGGGGAUGAGCUUUCGGGAGCGACCGGUUCCGUUCCACAGAGACAGGCUUCUCUCUGUGAACAUCGAGGCGGUGCUACGCUGAGACUGACUGUCUCUACCCAGUCACACCAGCCAAGCUGCACUGUAGUGGUGUUAAGUGUCCAAGAAUGCUCUCAUCAGUGGAGGCACAGCUGGCUGCAAAAAACGUCUGUGUCUGCAUGUUUAUAUUAUGUGAAUUAAAAAUGGUUUUAUUAUUAAAAUAAUUGUA